UGAGUUGCUGCGAGUGCCGAGGAGGAGGAGGAGACACCCAAAACUUCUGCUGCUUCUGAACCACCUGAGUAGAGGAAGAGCUGGAAUCUCUGAAGCGCUUCUUAGAAUUCUCCACCCUAAGCAAGGCUGCCUCUGCCCUGAGAGCUAAGUUGUAGAACUUGUCGAACUCCUCAGGAUCGUGCAAAGCAAGAGCUAACUGCAAAUCUUCUUUCAAGCCACCUCUGAACUAAUAAAUCUUGCUCUUCUGAUCAGGGAUAUCCUGCAAUGCGUAUCGGGCUAGCUCGUGGAACUCAACGUUGUACUUGUACACGGA
This 313-nucleotide long non-coding RNA is filed under the name Hordeum vulgare. Its description in RNAcentral is "long non-coding RNA (HVUL_LNC012550)". Lineage: Eukaryota; Viridiplantae; Streptophyta; Magnoliopsida; Poales; Poaceae. The record is from RNAcentral.